This 371-nucleotide long non-coding RNA is filed under the name Medicago truncatula (barrel medic). RNAcentral's name for it is "long non-coding RNA (MTRU_LNC004521)". The record is from RNAcentral. Lineage: Eukaryota; Viridiplantae; Streptophyta; Magnoliopsida; Fabales; Fabaceae.
UGGUAUAGGCCCUUCAUAUACAGGUGGUGGUGGCGGCGAUGAAUAUACCGGUGGUGGAGGUGAGGGAUAUGCAUAUACUGGUGAUGGUGGGGGUGAGGUGUAUACCGGUGGUGGCGGUGAGGGAUAGGCAUAUACUGGUGAUGGUGGUGGUGAUGGGGAUGGUGGUGGGUGAUAAGGUGUUUGAUGUGGCGCUGGCGAUGAUGGUGGUGGAGGUUCUACACAAGGUGGCGGUGGAGGUGGUGGAGGUUCUACACAAGGUGGUGGAGAUGGCGGUGGUGGUGAAUAGACUGGUGGUGGAGGUGAGUGUACUGGAGGAGGUGGUGGGGGUGAUAAAUAUGGAUAUACGGGUGGAGGAGGUGAGUGAGGUGGUG